Molecule: non-coding RNA, 48 nt
Organism: Schistosoma mattheei
Lineage: Eukaryota; Metazoa; Platyhelminthes; Trematoda; Strigeidida; Schistosomatidae
Source: Rfam
AUUCAACUAACGAGUCCCAAAUAGGACGAAACGCGCGUCAAACUAGAU